Mytilus californianus (California mussel) is the source of this 1731-nucleotide long non-coding RNA. RefSeq lists it as uncharacterized. The record is from RefSeq and is a predicted model, not a curated record. NCBI's taxonomy places the organism in Eukaryota, Metazoa, Mollusca, Bivalvia, Mytilida, Mytilidae. The transcript has 2 exons.
AUACAUUUUUGUAUAUAACUUUCAUGCAAAAUUGAUAAUAUUCAAUGAUAUUUUUUUUAUUUUAUCAAUAUUCAUUAGUCAUGAUAGUCUUUUUUUAACAAUUGUUUUGUUUCCAAAUUCCUACCACUAGAUUUGCAAGUUUCCUGUUCAAAUUUGUUAUUGUUUACUCUUCCUUUGAACCUCAGUUUUUUGUGCAUUUCAGGUAUUUAGGGGCUUGAAUUAAUGAUUUAUUGAAACCUCAACAAAAGAGAGAUAACUCUUAAAAUUUGAGAUAUUGGAGACAACUGUAUUAAUCACUUAAUAUUUUUUUAGGACUACUGAAUGGCUGUCCUUGGUGUUUAUUUUAAACGGACAUCAAUGGGAAUUUGCAAAUAUUUAUGUCUAAUACAAAUUUUGUACUGUACAUAUUUUCAUGUCUUUUUUUCAGAUAGCAUCAUUUAUUACAUGAUAACUGUGGCUUAGAUAUUUUCCUAUAUUAUGUUUUUACCAUAAAUGAGCAAGAACAAUUACCUUUACUAAUUUGCUUUAUGUUUUGUACAAGUUUCAGAUCCUUAAAAUACUGGUUUGAGAAAAUUUUAUGUUGAAUGUACAGAUAAUUAAGGUAAGUGAAUGGGAGUACAGAGAUAUUGGUUUACUGUCUUUGUAGGACUCUCCACAGAUAGUGAAUGAACAUUUUAAUCAAAAAUAAUAUAUAUGAUAUCUUGCAUAGUAUUAUUCUCUACUACAUGUUUAUGUAAUUGCCACUUUUAAGAAAUAAAUUUUAAAUUCUAGGAAAAUCAUAAUUUUCCUUUGACAAGAGACAAAUUAAAUCAAUAAAAAUCUGAAGAGGCUUAAAUGUGCUAAUUUUUUUUUAAAUUAAUUUUAUCCUGUGUGAAAAGUUAUUUACAAUACAUUCCAAGAUAUUCUUGAAAAGUUCAAAGGAGAAAAGUUUUUAAAGAUUGAAUGUUUAAUAUAGUUAAUUAAACAUUUGUUUACCUUGAAACAUUUGCCUAGUACAUGUCAUUCCAUGGUAUCUUAUUUCAUGUUUUAAUGAUACUGGUAAUAUUUGUGUUGUCUUGGGAAAGUUGGUAUUGCACCUUUAGUACCUGUAUUUGUGAAUGCUGGUCAUUUUGUACCGUCUUGGGAAAGUUGGUAUUGCACCUUUAGUACCUGUAUUUGUGAAUGCUGGUCAUUUUAUACCGUCUUGGGAAAGUUGGUAUUGCACCUUUAGUACCUGUAUUUGUGAAUGCUGGUCAUUUUAUACCGUCUUGGGAAAGUUGGUAUUGCACCUUUAGUACCUGUAUUUGUGAAUGCUGGUCGUUUUGUACUGUCUUGGGAAAGUUGGUAUUGCACCUUUAGUACCUGUAUUUGUGAAUGCUGGUCGUUUUGUACCGUCUUGGGAAAGUUGGUAUUGCACCUUUAGUACCUGUACUUGUGAAUGCUGGUCAAUCUGUCUUUUUUUAUGUGAAUGUUACCAGUUCAUUAUUUAUUGGUGUUAUUAUCUUCUUUGUAUGCAUGUAUGUGACCAGAUCUGGCAGAUCAUCAUGUUUUUUUCAAAAAGAUUUUGCUAAAAACAGGACAACCAUACUCUUUAUGUUUUAUUUAAAAAAUUUAAACCUCCUUUUUGGUUAGACAGAUAUUUGGCUCUUUUUAGGGAUCUUCUGAAAAUGUGGCAAGUUGUAUAAAAUGUGUAUAGUACCAUGUGUUUCAUUUACAAUUUUCUUGUAGUUCAAUAAAUUGUUCAUCAUAUAU